Molecule: ribosomal RNA, 253 nt
Filed under: uncultured bacterium
Lineage: Bacteria
Description: partial 16S ribosomal RNA
Rfam family: Bacterial small subunit ribosomal RNA
Source: RNAcentral
GACAGAGGCCCCAAGCGUUAGGCGGAAUCACUGGGCUUAAAGCGUGUGUAGGCGGAUCGUUAAGUGUCUUGUGAAAUCCCACGGCUCACCCGUGGAACUGCUGGGCAUACUGGCGAUCUUGGGCCAACUAGGGGCAGUCGGAACAAGCGGUGGAGCGGUGAAAUGCGUAGAUAUCAUUUGGAACGCCAAUGGUGAAAACAGGUAGCUGGGAGUGUGCUGACGCUGAGACACGAAAGCCAGGGGAGCGAACGGG